Molecule: ribosomal RNA, 253 nt
Filed under: uncultured bacterium
Lineage: Bacteria
Description: partial 16S ribosomal RNA
Rfam family: Bacterial small subunit ribosomal RNA
Source: RNAcentral
UACGGAGGGUGCAAGCGUUGUCCGGAUUUAUUGGGUUUAAAGGGUGCGUAGGCGGCUCUUUAAGUCAGUGGUGAAAGCCGACAGCUUAACUGUCGAAAUGCCAUUGAUACUGGGGAGCUUGAGUACGGUAGAGGUAGGCGGAAUUAAUGGUGUAGCGGUGAAAUGCAUAGAUACCAUUAAGAACACCGAUUGCGAAGGCAGCUUACUAUAGUGUAACUGACGCUGAGGCACGAAAGUGUGGGGAUCAAACAGG